RNAcentral lists this long non-coding RNA (1836 nucleotides) under Sus scrofa (pig). Its description in RNAcentral is "lncRNA (ENSSSCG00025064700.1)". The record is from RNAcentral. Lineage: Eukaryota; Metazoa; Chordata; Mammalia; Artiodactyla; Suidae.
GUUGACAAGAGUAAGAAAUGGGAAGGUGAGCACUGCCCAUCCAUUCACUGGCCCGCUGACCCGCCUGUAGUGAUACAUGGCAGAAUAAACUCAUAAACCAGCCGCAUCUCUUGACCUCUCGGAAUAAAUGGAAACAGAAGAGGCUUGAUGAUGAUCAUUGUGUUUAAGGAUUAGGAUCUGAACAGAGGAUGAUAGAUACCCAAGGUGCACCUUGAAAACAGGAACCCAGGCCAGGCCACUGAGAGUCAAAAAUCCCCCAAUUUUAAGGAAGUUUUCCCUUUAUGAAUUUUUCACAGCCCCUGCUGUCCUGUUGAGAGCAUGCCAGUGCCAGACCUCUCACAAGGAGGGGGCAUCUCUGAGUUUGCGAAGAAAAUAUUAUAGAAACAUGAGGAAGAAAGAAGGAGUAAAGUUGACCAAAUUAAAGGAUUUGCUCAGAUAUGAUACAAAACACACAGCCUGAACCAACAUCUCCACUGGAAGCCUGUUUUACUGAUGAGGAGGAGGAGGCCCAAGGAGGCUAAGUGCUGUCCCCAGAGUCACACAUCAAGCAUCUCCUUCAUGCCAAGCAGCUAAAUACUGAAACUCAGAAAGGACCGAGACAUGGGUUCUAGUGAGAAGGCAUGACGCAUCGCUCCUACAUGAAGUAGAGAUUGAACGAGAUGCCAGAUGGAAGGAUGCGGAUGAAGAGGACAGGAAUAAUCAGUGUUUACAGCAGGGGAAGUGGUGAUGCUUGUGCUGCAUUGGACCCGGGUUCACCUGUGGAAUUAUAAGCCCUUCAACCAGCUCCUUCAGUUCAAUGAGAACAACCUUGGGGAAGCCUUGGGGUUUCAUCUUUCACAUCGUGGGCAUGGCCUGUGCUGAUAUCCUGGGGCUGGUGAGAGGGCCCAGAGCAGUAAUGGGAGCCACAAAUCUUUUUAAAGUGGUUCCCCACAAUGGGGAUAGAGCAGGAAUCGCAGGGAAGGUCAACCCAACCUGGGUCCUAGGAGAGCCUUCUCCUUGCAACUUGAAACUUGCCAAGUGCUCUCACUUCAAGGCACACAGACCUAAGAGGAUUAAGGUAAGUAUCCUCCUAAAAGCUUGAAAAAACAAAGAUUAGUUUUUAGCAUCACAAAGAAACCUGUAUUUAUAUGGGAUCUGAAGGAGAGGAAAUAUGUUAAGACUUUUGGAGUGGGGGUGGAGGUCAGGAGAGAGACUGUAGACAGAAAAGACAAAUCAUUCCUCAGCAAGAGCGAGAACAAUGUUUAGAAAGAAAUAGGUUGAAAUUGAGAUUUAGGCAAAAGCAACAAGACAUGUAAAACAAAACCUUAUUUAGUUUAACUUACUGACUGAGCAUUUGUGAUUGGACCAAACAGUGGAUUCUUUUUGUUUUUUUCCCACUGUGCAAGGGUGAUGAGGAUUAUUAGGAAUAAUUAAGUCAGCACUGCAAGGACUUGUCCAUCUUCAUGAAAAAAAAUAUGUAUUUCUUUCAAUAACUUCAAAAAUACUUUACUACAUAAUCACAGUGGAGUAAAUCACUUAAACUCUUUUGAUCCUCAGUUUCCAAUGUAGUUUGAUUAAAUCAGUAUUUAAGAAAAAAAUUUUGGAGGUUGCAAAACUAUUGAAAAGUCUCAAGGAAUCCAUAAACCUCAGGAAAAUGCACUUACAUGCAAAAUUAUGCAUAGCAUUAUUUUGCACUGAAGAUAGAUUCCUCUCAUAUUGUCACCAAUAAGAUCAAUUUUCAACAACAUUUUGUCUCUUUCACUUUUUUUUUCCCAGACAAAAAUGAAUGGCUACUUCAUCCUCUUUCAAAAGGAAGUAGAUAGCAAUUUCAUAAAUAAAAUAAAAAGAAAACUUUCA